GUCCAGACUCCUACGGGAGGCAGCAGUGGGGAAUAUUGCACAAUGGGGGAAACCCUGAUGCAGCGACGCCGCGUGAGCGAUGAAGUAUUUCGGUAUGUAAAGCUCUAUCAGCAGGGAAGAAAAUGACGGUACCUGACUAAGAAGCCCCGGCUAACUACGUGCCAGCAGCCGCGGUAAUACGUAGGGGGCAAGCGUUAUCCGGAUUUACUGGGUGUAAAGGGAGCGUAGACGGCAAUGCAAGCCAGAUGUGAAAGCCCGGGGCUCAACCCCGGGACUGCAUUUGGAACUGUGUAGCUGGAGUGUCGGAGAGGCAGGCGGAAUUCCUAGUGUAGCGGUGAAAUGCGUAGAUAUUAGGAGGAACACCAGUGGCGAAGGCGGCCUGCUGGACGAUGACUGACGUUGAGGCUCGAAAGCGUGGGGAGCAAACAGGAUUAGAUACCCCUGUA
RNAcentral lists this ribosomal RNA (446 nucleotides) under uncultured bacterium. RNAcentral describes it as "partial 16S ribosomal RNA". It matches the Rfam family "Bacterial small subunit ribosomal RNA", at positions 329 to 792 of the family's 1533-position model. The record is from RNAcentral.